UACGGAGGGUGCGAGCGUUAAUCGGAAUUACUGGGCGUAAAGGGCGCGUAGGCGGUUCAGUGAGUCGGAUGUGAAAGCCCUGGGCUUAACCUGGGAAUGGCAUUCGAUACGGCUGGGCUAGAGUAUGGUAGAGGGAAGUGGAAUUUCCGGUGUAACGGUGAAAUGUGUAGAGAUCGGAAGGAACACCAGUGGCGAAGGCGACUUCCUGGACCAAUACUGACGCUCAAGCGCGAAAGCGUGGGGAUCAAACAGG
RNAcentral lists this ribosomal RNA (253 nucleotides) under uncultured bacterium. Its description in RNAcentral is "partial 16S ribosomal RNA". It matches the Rfam family "Bacterial small subunit ribosomal RNA", at positions 524 to 776 of the family's 1533-position model. The record is from RNAcentral.